CCUACGGGAGGCAGCAGUGGGGAAUAUUGCACAAUGGGCGCAAGCCUGAUGCAGCCAUGCCGCGUGUGUGAAGAAGGCCUUCGGGUUGUAAAGCACUUUCAGCGGGGAGGAAGGCGUUAAGGUUAAUAACCUUGGCGGUUGACGUUACCCGCAGAAGAAGCACCGGCUAACUCCGUGCCAGCAGCCGCGGUAAUACGGAGGGUGCAAGCGUUAAUCGGAAUUACUGGGCGUAAAGCGCACGCAGGCGGUCUGUCAAGUCGGAUGUGAAAUCCCCGGGCUCAACCUGGGAACUGCAUUCGAAACUGGCAGGCUAGAGUCUUGUAGAGGGGGGUAGAAUUCCAGGUGUAGCGGUGAAAUGCGUAGAGAUCUGGAGGAAUACCGGUGGCGAAGGCGGCCCCCUGGACAAAGACUGACGCUCAGGUGCGAAAGCGUGGGGAGCAAACAGGAUUAGGUACCCGUGUAGUC
Molecule: ribosomal RNA, 465 nt
Filed under: uncultured Klebsiella sp.
Lineage: Bacteria; Pseudomonadati; Pseudomonadota; Gammaproteobacteria; Enterobacterales; Enterobacteriaceae
Description: bacterial SSU rRNA
Rfam family: Bacterial small subunit ribosomal RNA
Source: RNAcentral